GUACAAUGAGCACAUAUAGUAAAAUUGGAAUGAUACAGAGAAGAUUAGCAUGGGCCCUGCACAAGGAUGACACACAAAUUCGUGAAGCGUUCCAUUAAAAA
This 101-nucleotide small nuclear RNA is filed under the name Homo sapiens (human). The record is from RNAcentral. Lineage: Eukaryota; Metazoa; Chordata; Mammalia; Primates; Hominidae.